GUACACGCUGUGACUAGCAUAUCAAUAAGCGGAGGAAAAGAAACUAACGAGGAUUCCCCUAGUAACGGCGAGUGAAGCGGGAAGAGCUCAAAUUUGAAAUCUUAAAGGGUUUCCCUUUACGAAUUGUAGUUUAAAGAAGUGUUUUCUGUUGAGGUUUUGGUAAAAGUUCUUUGGAAUAGGACAUCAUAGAGGGUGAGAAUCCCGUAUUUGACCUUUACUUUCAACUUUGUGAUACACUUUCAAAGAGUCGGAUUGUUUGGGAAUGCAGUCCAAAAUGGGUGGUAAAUUUCAUCUAAAGCUAAAUAUUGGCGAGAGACCGAUAGCGAACAAGUACCGUGAGGGAAAGAUGAAAAGAACUUUGAAAAGAGGAGUUAAACAGUACGUGAAAUUGUCAAAAGGGAAGCGUUUGACACCAGUGUUGUUUUUCUGAAAAUCAAUUAAAGAACUGUUUAUGCUAAGUUGUUUAGACUUUAUCAGCUAACUGUUUAGUUUUGAGCUUUUCUUUAAUGCACUUUUCAGUUAACAAGUCAACAUCAAUUUCUUUUGCUGUAAAAAAGCUUGAGGAAGGUGGCUUGAGAUUCGUCUUAAGUGUUUAUAGCCUCUUGCCUAUGCAGUCGGAGAGAUUGAGGUCUGCAGCGUAGAUCCUUCGGGGCUAAAUGCAUUUGUGCUAAGUUAUAGCAUUUUAUAGACAACUUGUUGACUAUGAUUUGUCUUGUAGCUUACUCGCUUAUGCUAUUUUACCUACGCUUAGGAUGUUGAAGAUGUAGCACAUCAU
RNAcentral lists this ribosomal RNA (775 nucleotides) under uncultured Neocallimastigales. RNAcentral describes it as "partial large subunit ribosomal RNA". It matches the Rfam family "Eukaryotic large subunit ribosomal RNA", at positions 22 to 635 of the family's 3401-position model. Lineage: Eukaryota; Fungi; Neocallimastigomycota; Neocallimastigomycetes; Neocallimastigales. The record is from RNAcentral.